This 630-nucleotide long non-coding RNA is filed under the name Chrysemys picta bellii (western painted turtle). RNAcentral's name for it is "lncRNA (ENSCPBG00000025154.1)". The record is from RNAcentral. Lineage: Eukaryota; Metazoa; Chordata; Testudines; Emydidae.
AAAAUAAUCCAUAUUCAUCAAUGUUUUCCAUGUGAAAAUAAAAAUCCUUUCCUGACCAGCUCUAGACAGUACGUAGCAGAACGCAGUUGGUAACGAAGCAAUGCUGUUCUCCUCCCAGAGACAGACGCUCUGCCAGAGAAACCAGCAGAAUGGAAACUAAUACCUUAACCCAACGGUCAGACUCGGUGUUUGUGCAGGACAAGUUUCUCUGAGGGGACGGCAUGUCAGAGACAGAUGUACUGGAGAGGAGCAGGGAACUUUUGGAGAUGGGACAGAUGCUGCAGCUGGUACAAGGCUGAUACAGAAGGAGAGUCGUGCCUAACACGGUUUGAGUUUUACAACUGUUCCUUCGGCACUUCUUUGGAUUUUGUUUAGCUCACUUCUGCAACAACAGCUGGGAACCGUAUUUCCUUCAAAUUAUAAGUGGCUCCCCAGCUCCCCAGUGCCUGGCUGCCCACUCACCCACCCUUUAGGAGAGCAGCCCCAGGGACUGGCCAGCUGGAAGCCAGACGCUCAGCUCCCUGGGGUGCUGGGAAUCCUUGAGAGCGGUGGGUCCCAGAGAGCGUCAGCUCAGUAGCAGCUCACCAGGCAAGGUGCUGAGGCAGCAGGCAAUCAGGUGAGCAGUUGAGA